Molecule: ribosomal RNA, 468 nt
Filed under: uncultured Oomycota
Lineage: Eukaryota; Oomycota
Description: LSU rRNA
Rfam family: Eukaryotic large subunit ribosomal RNA
Source: RNAcentral
GUGCGAGACCGAUAGCGAACAAGUACCGUGAGGGAAAGAUGAAAAGAACUUUGAAAAGAGAGUUAAAGAGUACCUGAAACUGCUGAAAGGGAAGCGAAUCGUAUCCAGUGUCUAUAAUCUGCGGCAUAUUUCAUUGGCGGCAGUGUGCGUGCUUUUGCGUCGGAAGCGGCUUUUGUUGCUCUGUGCUUUUGCUGUGCGUGCUGUUGCUGGUGCCCUGUGUUGCGGUGGGACGUCAGAGUCAGUUCGUAUGCUGCGGGAAAUGGCCGCCGAGGAGGUAGGUCAGGACUUCGGUCUUGGCUGUUAUAUCUUGGCGGUUUGUUGUCGUGGUUGGGACUGAGGCGCCUACAAUGUGCUUUUGAGUGUGCCGGGUUCUCAUUUGGUGGACUGUUUGGAUAGCUUGCUAUGCUUGUGGUUUUUUCAUCGAGUGAUUGAGUCUGGUGGUAACUUGUUGCUGUUCGGGACUUUGAA